CAAGUGUGGAGCCAAACGACAACAAGAUUCUCAGAGGGCGGAGCCAGAGAGCAGUGACUGGUCAGACCAUAGAUAAUGUGGAAGACAGCGCGCUAGCGGAGCUAGUCUAUGUAUAUCGAUGGUCAGCACGUCUGGUAGCAUCUCUGGCUGCUGUUGACCUUGUUUUUGGAGUAAAACACGGUGGAAGCUGAAUUAGUGAGGAUGACUCCUGCUCCUGUCAUCUCUAAGCUCCUCCCACAUCUUUACCUGCACAUGAGGAAAAUCACUCCUGUAGAAUGCAGAUGUUCAGAGGGAGAUGAUGCCACAUCUGGUCCAGCUGAUGGAAGGUCUUGAAGUUCUCUGACUGGCCUCGACUGAAGAUGGUCGUCUCACUGGAUUUAAGAGAUGCACAAUGAGGGACGUCUGCAGCGACUGAGAAAGAGUCUCACCACAUCCUGACAUGAGGAAAAAGACUUUUUUGAAGACUACAAUGAGAAAAACUAUCAGACAGCAGACGGCUGCAUUCAAGUCUGUAGCUGCUGAAUUCAUGGAUGAAUCAUCUGGCACUAGAGAGGAAGACCAUCAAACAUCCACAUCAGCUGAUGGAGGUCCAAGAGUCUCACCAAACAAACAACCUACAGAGUGAAGACCUCAAAUCUGAUUGGACGGCCUCCUAUUCAGCCACAUGUGUGAACAAAUGCCUCUAAGCUGAUUUGUUUUCUAAAAUAAAUCUAGUUUGAGUCCUAAUCUAUGCCUGUGUGUUUGCUUCUUUAUGCUGCUGUUAACAGUUUAGGCUGUUAGAUUGUUCCAGAUAAGACAAGUACAAGAUUCUUCAGAGCCGUUCUACCACGAGCCUGACAGGAAGAACUCCAACAGCUACUGAAUGUUCCUGUGGUCCCCUCAAGGCUACAGGAGGAGUCCUACGAGGACGAGCCGGUCCACCUGAUGGUGGCCAGUUGCUGCGGUUCAAAGCCAACACCGACUACGUGGACUUCUACUGGACCACACGGAGGCCUUCAAACCGGACCAACAAGUUCACCGACUCCCCGACUCGUGGGUCUGAGGACGCCGCCGAGCCUCGGUCCAGCCGGCCUCCUGUCUGUGGGUGUUUGAGUGCUGAGAGGUUUGUGGAUGCAUGUGAACGUGUCUGUGUUGAAACAGCAGCUUUUGACUCACUAACGCCGGGAAAACCCAAGAAUUCCUUUAUUUGUGACUUCCACUAAAAAAACUGAUGAAAAUAAGUUUGCCAGAGUUCUGACUGAUAACAGAUUAUUAAAUAAUGAUAAUAAUCGUUUAAAUAUUCCUUUAAACAAUCCUUUUAGGUCUACAUUUCCUUUACACUGACUUCUUGGUACAUGUACAAGUAUUUUGGGUGGAAUAUACCAAUAAGCCUAAUGUUCAAGGGUUUUUCUGGGAAUAUACCAUUAAACCAACCUUUUAGGUAAAUGUUCCAGGAUGUUGGGUAGAAUAUACCAUCAGAUAAACCUUUUAGGUCUACAUUGGAAAAUUUUAGAGUAGAAUAUUACUCCAAACUAUCCUUUAGGUCUACAUUUAAGGUGGAAUACUACUUUACACCAAGAUUUUUUUGGUCUACAUUGAAGGAUUUUAGGUGGAAUAUUCCUUUGAACAAACUUUUUAAGUUUAUGUUCAAGGAUGCUGGGUGGAAUAUACCAUCAGACCAACCUCCAAGGUCUACAGUAGUGAAUUUUAGGUGGAAUAAACCAUUAAACUCACCUUUUAGGUAUACAUUGGAGGAUUUAAGGUGGAAUUUUCUUCUAGACCAUCUUUUAGUCUGCAUUUAAGGAUGUUUAGGAUGGUAUAUUCUACUAAACCAACUUCUCAGGUCUACAUUUCAGGUGGAAUAUUCCUCCAUACUAACUUUUUUGGUCAACAUUGAAGGAUUUUUUCUAAACCACCCUUUCGGGUCUAUAUUUGAGGUUUUAGGUGGAAUAUUCCUUUUAACCAGCCCCUCAGGUCUCUUUGAGGAUUUUGGAUGGAAUACUCGGUUAAACCGACAUUUUAGGUGCAUGUCCAAGGAUUUUUGGUGGAAUGUUCCUUUAAGGUGGAUGUUUGAGGACCUUGUAGGUGGAAUACUUCCUGACACCAACCUUUUAGGUCAACAUUCAAAGAUUUAAGGUGGAAUAUUCCUUUAAACCAACCUAAAUUUCACCUCAAACCUCAAUCCAGACUCCUCAUAAUGACAUUUGAGAUUGAUGCUGCUGUUAUUUGUUUAGUCCAGACUAAAUGACAGAAAUCCACAACUGUAAUUUUAUUUCAGGACUCGGUUAUUAAAUGUCAAAACAAUCCAUGUGACUCUAAAAACUCAACAGCUUUACAAACUCUAAGAUUAAACUCUCCACAAGGAUCCAAAAUAAGUUGGACUUCUACAUGAGAGCUUUAAUUAUUCUUCAUCUACUUCUUGAAAAGUUUGGUCAGUAAAAAAAGAUAAAAACUAAUAUUUUCAGCUGAACUAAAGACAGACUUUGUGAUUUUUCUGCUCACAUGUGAUGUUGUAAAC
Molecule: long non-coding RNA, 2497 nt
Organism: Amphiprion ocellaris (clown anemonefish)
Lineage: Eukaryota; Metazoa; Chordata; Actinopteri; Pomacentridae
Source: Ensembl